RNAcentral lists this ribosomal RNA (522 nucleotides) under Carabus latreilleanus latreilleanus. RNAcentral describes it as "partial 16S ribosomal RNA". It matches the Rfam family "Bacterial large subunit ribosomal RNA", at positions 1829 to 2599 of the family's 2925-position model. The record is from RNAcentral. Lineage: Eukaryota; Metazoa; Arthropoda; Insecta; Coleoptera; Carabidae.
GUCCUUUUGGAUUUUUAUUUAAGGUCUAGUCUGCCCACUGAAUUUAUAUUUUAAAUGGCCGCAGUAUUUUGACUGUGCAAAGGUAGCAUAAUCAUUAGUUUUUUAAUUAAAAGCUUGUAUGAAAGGCUGGACGAGGUAAAAUCUGUCUCUAUUUAAAUUAUAAUAGAAUUUAACUUUUAAGUCAAAAGGCUUAAAUAUUAUUAAAAGACGAGAAGACCCUAUAGAGCUUUAUAAUUUAUUAAAUAUAAUUAAUUUAGAAAUUUUUAUGUUUUAUUUAAUUAAAUUAUUUUAUUGGGGUAAUAGAAAGAUUGAAUUAAUUCUUUUUUAUUAUAAACAUUGAUUUAUGAAUAUUAAAUGAUCCAGUUUUACUGAUUAUAAGAUUAAGUUACCUUAGGGAUAACAGCGUAAUUUUUUUAGAGAGUUCAUAUCGAUAAAAAAGUUUGCGACCUCGAUGUUGGAUUAAAGAUUAUUUUAGGUGUAGAAGCUUAAUAAUUUUGGUCUGUUCGACCAUUAAAUCUUUAC